Molecule: non-coding RNA, 251 nt
Organism: Pelobates cultripes (western spadefoot toad)
Lineage: Eukaryota; Metazoa; Chordata; Amphibia; Anura; Pelobatidae
Source: the annotation of a GenBank genome assembly
ACUACAUGAUGAGGGAAUGAUAAACAUUGAGGGACUAGACUGGGCUGGGGUAUCUAGAACGCUUGUUUUUUCAUUAAACAAGCAUUUAAGGAGGAAAGGCUGAGAAGGAGGGAAUGACACACAUGGAUGGGGUGAGGAGGAUGGAGUGACACACAUGGAGGGGGUGAGGGAAUGAUAAACAUUGAGGGGCUGGACUGGGCUGAGGGAUCUAGAACGCUUGUUUUUUCAUUAAAGUUUUGGCUGCAUUCGUA